This 73-nucleotide transfer RNA is filed under the name Candidatus Levyibacteriota bacterium. RNAcentral's name for it is "tRNA-Ala". It matches the Rfam family "tRNA". Rfam says of the family: Transfer RNA (tRNA) molecules are approximately 80 nucleotides in length. Lineage: Bacteria; Candidatus Levyibacteriota. The record is from RNAcentral.
GGGCCCUUAGCUUAGUUGGUAGAGCGUCGCAUUUGCAAUGCGAAGGUCAGGAGUUCAAAUCUCCUAGGGUCCA